GGUGAUAUAGCUCAGUGGUAGAGCACUUGCAUAGCGUUCAUGAGGUGCUGGGUUCAGUCCCUAGUAUCAUGA
This 72-nucleotide transfer RNA is filed under the name Heterocephalus glaber (naked mole-rat). It matches the Rfam family "tRNA". Rfam says of the family: Transfer RNA (tRNA) molecules are approximately 80 nucleotides in length. The record is from Rfam by way of RNAcentral. Lineage: Eukaryota; Metazoa; Chordata; Mammalia; Rodentia; Bathyergidae.